RNAcentral lists this ribosomal RNA (458 nucleotides) under Citrobacter freundii. Its description in RNAcentral is "bacterial SSU rRNA". It matches the Rfam family "Bacterial small subunit ribosomal RNA", at positions 1 to 455 of the family's 1533-position model. The record is from RNAcentral. Lineage: Bacteria; Pseudomonadati; Pseudomonadota; Gammaproteobacteria; Enterobacterales; Enterobacteriaceae.
AAAUUGAAGAGUUUGAUCAUGGCUCAGAUUGAACGCUGGCGGCAGGCCUAACACAUGCAAGUCGAACGGUAGCACAGAGGAGCUUGCUCCUUGGGUGACGAGUGGCGGACGGGUGAGUAAUGUCUGGGAAACUGCCCGAUGGAGGGGGAUAACUACUGGAAACGGUAGCUAAUACCGCAUAACGUCGCAAGACCAAAGAGGGGGACCUUCGGGCCUCUUGCCAUCGGAUGUGCCCAGAUGGGAUUAGCUAGUAGGUGGGGUAACGGCUCACCUAGGCGACGAUCCCUAGCUGGUCUGAGAGGAUGACCAGCCACACUGGAACUGAGACACGGUCCAGACUCCUACGGGAGGCAGCAGUGGGGAAUAUUGCACAAUGGGCGCAAGCCUGAUGCAGCCAUGCCGCGUGUAUGAAGAAGGCCUUCGGGUUGUAAAGUACUUUCAGCGAGGAGGAAGGCGUU